Molecule: long non-coding RNA, 1586 nt
Filed under: Mus spicilegus (steppe mouse)
Lineage: Eukaryota; Metazoa; Chordata; Mammalia; Rodentia; Muridae
Description: lncRNA (ENSMSIG00000005136.1)
Source: RNAcentral
GGUUAAAGGUGUGCGCCGCCGCCGCCGCCACCACCACCACCAAGCAGAAGUCUUAAUCUUCAAAAGCCCUGUAAGAGGAUGUCUAUCUAUUUCGAGAGAUCUAUCAGAGCUUCCUACCCACAUAUAAUCACAGGUAUGACGGAAAAGAGAGCUUAGAGUCUAGCUCUGGUGGCGCGUGCCUGUAGCCCCGGUGUUCGGUUAACAGAAGCAGGCGCUUAUCAGUUUCCAGCCCAUCCUAAAGGACAUAGUGAGGUCUCAUCUGCAACAAAACAGGCAGCGGAAGGGGGAGACCUCAUGAGACCGCCCUGCCCUCUGUGGUAAAGAAAAGACAGAUACUUGCCAAUAUACUGUAAUGAAAUAUGCUCAGCAACAUGGAGAGUUUCAGAUGCAUGGGAGUAGAAGAAGAGAAAAUAAAUCAACGUCCUUCUGGAUUGACAGACAGAAGCCCGUGUAUGCAGAGUCACCUCCAGGCAAUAUAUCCAUGUAUGCCAGCGUGUAUCCAGAGUCCCCGAUAGGCCAUCCCAUGUCCCUUGCUCAUAAUAGAUUUGGAAGCAAAACAGGAAUUGACCUGGUCAGUGAAGACUGAGGAGAGAUUUACUAAGGGCUUCUAAGGAAGAGUCCUAAUUUGCAAGAGUAAGCAAUGGAAGGAACCAGUCUCCUCCUCGGGCGUGACUGCGUAUAGAUUUGAAGCCCAGAACCCAGCCCCCAUGGCAGCACUAGACUGAAAAUGAAGCCAACCUUCUUGAAGGGAGGAGCUGGAAGAGUAGCAGGGAGAUAAUUGAGUGGAGCUAGACCACAUCAGCAAAGAAGGCCUCACCUCCAGACUCAAGAAAGGGAGUCUGUGUGGUGUUUUGAUCAGCAUGACUCCAAACCUUCCAGCUGUUACAUUCAUGGGUGGCUCCAGUUCCUCAGCGCUACACCAAGAUCUUAGUGUCUUCCCUGGUCAUUGGUGGAGUGGUUCUGGAAUUCAAAGUGAGUGGGCCAGUGAGAUGCCUCAGCAGGCAAAGGCACUUGCCAGAAAGAACUGACUCUUCAAAGCCGUCGUCCGACUUGCAGACACCUCACGCCCCGUGCAAACUCAGGAACAGUAAUAAGGAAUGGGGGAGGAAGAAGAGGAGAAGAUCGGAGUGAGGCAGUGUACAGGAAUGUGUGUAGACUACAAGCUGCCGUUUAAGGGCACACCGUAGGGAUAACCACUAUUGAGCCUGCAGAAUGAAGCUUACCUUCCUAUAAAAACCUUAUAAACCUUAUGCAUUGCAUGUCUUAAAAAAUAGAGUCACCUGACUUGUUUAUUUUAAAUACUUCCAGAAACUUUAUGCAAAUCUACAGAUCAUUUUACAACAUAAAAAGUGACUGUGUUUCUUCUAGCAGCAGGCAGGAAGCCCCAAGCAGUUCAUUUCCAUUCAACGGCAGAGGGCAAGGCUGUUUUGACUAGCCAUUUAUAUUUAAGGGGGUUAAGUAUGUUUGCCCAUAAAAUAUGGUCUUCUUUACUUCAAAACUGCAAAUAUGCUGAAAUCUGUCUGGUGUCAGAGUUCCCACAUGUAGAGAGGGCUUUCCUAAAGGGUAAAGGAUAAAGUCCAUGGGAA